UCCCAGUGUUAUAAUUCUCAGCAACGACACUCCAGAGGAGCAUUAAAUUAAACCAGUACGCCAUCAACUAGCACGUUUUCCAUGUCACAAACUCCAACAAAGAACACCUUGUUUGGCUUGGCCAUUGAUUAUUGUUGUUUCUCCCCUUCCAAGGAAAACACUUAUUACUGUUAUCUUAUCACUAUCACAACAGCAUUUUCACUUGCAUCGGGUCAUUGUCAAUUCGUGGCCUUUAUUUCUUCAGGUCUAAUGCACAAAUCAGCCUUUAUGGUUUUUAUUAUAUUCAAAAAUAUUAAUUUUUUAUAAAAUUAACUACUAUUUCUUUUAUAUAUAAAAUAUAAUUAAAGAAAUAAAUCAGUAAUUUCAAAGUAAAAGUAUAAGUUGAUAUUGAAUUUAUUAUUAUAAAUUAGAAGUCCACAAUUAUUUAUAUUAACUUCAGAUAAUAUAAGUAUGAGUUUUGCCAUAAGUUAGUUUUAAAAUAAUUAAUUAAUAUAUUUUUAUUUACUAUAUUUUUUAUUUGUAUGAUUUAAUCUGAUUAAAAUUUAAAUAUUUUAAAACUUGUAUUAAUAAAAUUAAAUUGUUUUACAAUCAUUCUUAAAUAAUAAUAUAAAAUUAAAUAUUCUUAGUUUAAAAAUAUUAUUACUAUCAUUAUUUUUAUCAUACAUUAAAAUUAAACCAUAUGAAAGAUAAAUGUUUUAAUCCAAUUUGAUAAAAAAACAUUUCAUAUUAUAAUCUAACUAAAUAAUCUAACAUUGAUUAACUUCACAAAAGAAAUAUUAAAAUUGAUAAAUAUUUAUCAAUAAAAAAAUUUAUAAAUACUAAAAUUGAUAAAUAUUUAUCAAAAAAAAUGAUAAUUUUGUAGUUUAAAGAUGCAGCUUUCUAUCGAAAAUCAAAUAAAAUUAGUAUACAAUUAGUAUACGUAAACUAUUCACUUUUUAGUAUAUUUUAAUUUUGAUAUCUAAUAAAAAUAAUAAUUAUUAUAUAUGUAUUUUAUUUAAUAAUUUAAGACUAAAUGUAUUUUUAACACGUUUAAAUUUUCUUAGAUUAAAUGGUGCUAAAAACAAAAAUUAAAACAAGUAAAAAGAUAUAAAUUAAUUAAAUUAUUUUUAUAAAUAUAAAUUGUGCUAAAAUAAAAGAUUAAAACAGUAACAAAAUAUAAAUUAAUUAUUUUAUUAGAUAAUAAAAUUAAUUUGUGCCAAAAUAAGAUUUUAUCUUAUUUGGAUAAAAUAAAUAAGUUGAGUAUUUCAUUAUCUUUUUGUUUUUGAGUUUUUAGCUAUCUUUCAUCUUCUUUAUUGGUUCUCCAGUGGAGACUGAUAGGGACUUCAAGUGCUAUCAUGACUCAUCUAAAAAUUUUUAGAAUAGAGAGUUUAUUUUUGACAUUAAAUUUGAAAAAGGAGAUUAAGUUGAAGAGGGAAUAAAGCUUGAAUUUUUGCAUCGUCUAAUUGCCAAAUAUAUAGGUUGGUUCUAGCGAAAUAAAAAGUGGAAGGGAGCUGGCCACACUGGAAAAAUCUUAUAGUAGGAGUUUGAGAGACUAAGAUAGCUGGAGUAGGAAAAAAAAAGAGAAAAAUGAUGAUAGGAAAAAAAAUAUUGGAAAGAAAGAGAAAGAAAGAUGUAUAUAAAUUAAAAACUAGUUUCACAUACUUUAUAAAUAUCUAAUAUAUACCUUUUAUUGUUGAACAUUUUUUUUUAUAGAAAAAAUUUAAAAUAGCUAAAAUAAACUACUAAUUGAUAUAUAUAUACCUUUUGCUAUUGAAUUUUUUAGAAUUUGCAUUCUGUUUUAUUUGAAAAAGUUUGAGAUAUCUAGCAGAUAUUUAAAGUGUAUUAUUUUCUUAUUAAACAUUUAGCUUUUUUACUUUUAUUUUUAAAUAUUUUUAUUUACAUUCUUUUUAGCUUUUUAAAAUAGUUGCUGAUAGUGUAAAUAUUGACUAAAUUAUUCAUUUAACGUUUUAAUAUUGAAGAAAAUUGGAAUUUCAUAUCAUUAGCAUUUAAACAUAAACAUAAUUAAAAUUCAACAUAUAUUUUAUUCAGUUUCUGUCAAAAGUGUACCAGACAUAUAUUUUUUCUUUAACAUAUACCUGACAUAAUUCUCUUUCCAUUUUAUAGCCAUUUUUUCUCUUUUUCAAAUAUAAUAUUAUCAACAUAUUUUCACAUUCUUAAACUAAGAAAAUAACUUUUUAAAUUUUUUAUGUAUUUACUUUAUCACUAAUAUCAUAAAAUUAACCAAAAUGCAAUACCAUUUCAAAAAAGUUAUUAUCAUUUAAAUUUGUUUUUUAUUAAAAGUAUAUUAAAUAUAUACUGUUCUUUCCAACACAUACCAUUUCACUUUGUUGUGAUUUUUUUUAGUUGUUUAGCUAUGAUAUUAAAAACAUAUCUCCACAUUCUUAAAUUAGUAAAAUAACUCCUAAAUUUAUAUUUAUUCAUCACUGGUAUUUAAAAAAGAUUAACCAAAUUGCAAUAAUAUUUCAUACAGACUAAAUAUGUAUUGUUGAAUCUAGAGAUUUUUUUUGAAAUUUUCAAAAUUUACUUAUAUUUUAUGAUAUUUAUUUUCUGUCAAUGAUAAUUUUGAUGCUGAAUCACUUCUAAAAUCAAUGUUGUUAGUUAGUUUCUUAUAUUGAUUUUUGCAACUAUAUUUUUUGGUAUUUAAUCAUUGGCAUUUUAUAUUUGGUUUUUAGUUUUAUUUUUAUUUUUUAUUCUUGGUUUUCUUUGAAGAAAUUCAAAUCUAGGUAUCUUUAUAAAUAAAAUCAUAUUUUAAGGUAUCUUUAUAAUAAAAAUUAUGUUUUAAAGUAUUUUGUUGUCAUCAAUUUUUGCAGAUAUUAUCUUGUGAUUAUUCUAUAUUUUGUGACAAUUAUAAAUAAAUUCUUAAAACUUAGUGUUUAUAAUUUAUUCCUAUUAUGUGGUUUUUUAAAAAAUCAAUUAGAUAAAAAUUAAUUUAAAAUAAAACAGGCAACAACAGUUAUAGCAAAGGAUAUUGAAAGGAUAUUAUUACUUUUGUUGUUGUUUUCUUAUAUUUAAUACCAAUAGACUCAACAAUUGCAACAACAAGAAUAAUAACAACACAACCAAGAAUAGCAACAAUAAUAGAAUCAAUUGUGUUGUCUUUUCCUCACCCCUACCCCUACAUUAUUUACCUCACUAUCAUUAAGGAAAAAGGUAAAAACACAGACAAGAGCAAAGAUAUCAACAACAAUAAGAUACAGGCUAAAUUGAGCCUGCAUGUAAAGUUCUAUUAGUUUUAGUAUACUCACUUAAAAGAGAUUGCCUUUAAGAGCUACGAGAUUGCCCGAAGAGCUAUUAAAUCUCUCGAAAAAUUAUGAGAUUGCUGGAAAAACUAUGAAGCUCCAUGAAGAACUAUUAGAUCUCCUACAUUCCACAAUAUAUGAUCUCUAUCAAAUAUCAUGGUCAAGUACUACAUCCUCCACUUCCUAAAAAAUAUGAGGCUAUGUCUUCAUCAGUUAAGGCACUUCUUCUAUAUACUCUAAUUAAUCAUCUAUAAAUACUAAAAGUCACUUCAUAUGUGAGGUAACUCUAUUUUAGACCUUUAAACUUUGUUAUAUAAAGUCUCAAUACAUUGCUGAUUUAAACAUCAGAGUGGUUUCUCCAUGUAAAGUGCCCAGACCAUUCUGACAUAGAUCUUUCUAAUAUAGAUCUUCCAUCUACAACUCUCCCUUGUAAAUCUUUUCAAUAUAGAUCGUCCAUCUUUAGCUUUAUCGUAUAAAUUUCUAUAACUUUAUUUCAGCUCUCCAAGCAACAUAGGUUUCCGAGUAAGUUGUCAAAUUCAGGUCAAUGACAUAAAAAAUAAUUGCUAGCAUAGAGUUAUUUAUUUAAUAUUAUUUUUUAUAACUAUUGUUUUUCAAGGCAACCAUAAAUGACGAAUGAAAAAGGUCCUGUUUAUUCAGUAUAUAUAAUAUAUAUUUUUUAUUAGGAUAAAGUUCAUACCUGUUAAUUAUUAGCGUUAGUAGAAUAAACGACAGCACCCUUUUCUGAAUCUAGAUAUCAAGGAGAAUACGAAUAACCAUAUGAGGCUAAGGUUGAGAUUAAUCCAAUUGGAAUUACCUUUUUAAUAUCAUUUGGACUCAAUUGUCAAGAAAACUAAAGUUUGAGGGUUAAAACGAUAGCUUUCACAAAUUUAAAGACCUAAUUUCAAAGUUUUUAAAUUUUUUAUGUGUAGAGACAAUCGAUGCUACAUAGUGUUGAUUUAUUCUUUUACACUCAGACAUUUUUCUAGAUGAUUUUACAUUCAAAUACAGAUUCUAGAAGGUUUUUGACCAUAAUCAUGAAUUUUUAAUUAUAAUUAUUUAAAUUUAAAGAAUUAAAUUUAGAUUUUUAUUAACAUUAUUUUUUAAAAUAAUUGAAAUUAUCUCUUUCUCUUAGGGUUUCCUUUGAAAUCCUACCUCUAUAAAUAGAAAGAUGUGAUUAAGAUUAGGGUUAACAAGUAACAAUGGGUAACAACGAGAGAUAACAAAAAAUAAAAAAAGAAUAAUAACGAGAAACAAACAGAAAAAACAAGAAAGAAAAAGAGAAAUAAAAUUAUCAUUCUUAUUCGGGCAGAGAAUUCAAGUCACUAAAAAAGAAACCACUCAAGAAAGAACUAUUUUUGAAAACUUAUUUUUAAGUCGAUAUAAGUUUUCUUAACACUAGAUCCAGCAUUGGACUCCUAACCAUUUUUUGACUUUACUGCCUCCUUAUCACCUGAGACAUGCAGAACCAUCAACUACGGCGACAACUUGAGGGUUUCUCCAAACAUGCUUCUGUCAUCAUCUUAAAAUCAGAUUCUUUGUCCUUUUAUUUUAUUUUUUUGUUAUUCAUUAUUAGAAACAUGAUUAGGGUUACUGAUGUUAUUUAUGAUUAGAAUGAUUAGAUUAGGGUUUCUUGUGAAUCUGCAUAUUAAUUGGAUUUUGAAUCUAAUAAAAAGAACUCUAAAAUUUUGAAUAUGAUAAUUUGCCAAUUAGAAUUUUGAAUCAGGUUAGACAUAUGCAAUAGGAUUAAUGAUUAGAUUUAUAUUUUCAUCAUGAUAUAGUAAUUAAAUAUGUUUAAUAUGAUUAGAUGACUGAUUUGCUAUCUUUUUGUUUACUGUACUUUUAGUUUUUAGGGUUUCGGUCAGUUUUAGGGUUUUUGAUCGUUCAAUUAAUUCAUGUUAUUUUUAUUUUUAUUUUUAUUUUUAUUUUUAUUUUUAUUCUUUUCAUAUCUAAUUAAUUAUACUCUCUGUGCAUGUAAAAUUUCUGCUAUGGGGAUACGAGAUACACUAAUGAAUCGACAGAAAACUCAUUUAGAACCCUAGAUCGGUUGUGCAUUCUUCAGUCCUAGAUAUUUUAGCUUUGGACGAUUUGAUGUAUGAUAUAUUGUAUUGGAUUUUUAGGACUUUUCCUUCACAAUUUUAGUUGUAGGAUGUGUUGUAAUAAUUAGGUUUAUUUUCUGCUUUAUUUUAUUUAUUUUGCUUAUUGUGUGAUUAUAAAAUAUAUGUUUAUGUAAUUGAUUAAUUAAAAUGGGCCACAUAGACUUAGGGCUAAAAUUGGACGUAGCAUGAAUAUUAUAGUCCAAUAGGUUAAUCAACAUUAACUAGGCCUAAAACCUAAAAUUGAAGUAGACUUAGUGGGCCUUAGCAUGUUUUAAUUAGGAUUAGGCUUCAUUAGAAUUAGGAUUACAAUGAACGAACAUAUCAUAAUAAAUAAUCCAUUAGGUCUAAAGGUUGGAAAUCAAAAGCAUAAUAUAUAAUUUGGCUAGACUAGGUGGCUAUAUUUACAUAAUUAACUAGUAAAUUAGGCUAACAACUUCAAUAUGGGCAAGGCUUGAAUAAAAUAAGUUAGACUAGGGUGAAUUAUGUGUGUUAUUUGAGAAGCCUGUGUAUAGAUUGCUUGUAUUUAUAGGAAAUAAUUUUUUAAACAAUAAUAUUAAAGACUAAUAUACACAAAUAAAGAAGUUGACUUCCGGAUCCAUCUUUGGAUUUUAUGGCGUAAGCUUCCUUAUGGAAUCUGAGAAAUACCACUCAUUAGUAAAAGUGUCUUGAUGAUUACCUGGGCGGCGACUUCCCAUCUCCGCGCUAGUCUCAGUGACUAGUUAGCAUGUUACCAAUUAGGUUCAAAAGCCUUACAGUGCCGUAGUCACUACAGACACUUGGGUGUCCACCCGAAACCGCCGCCCACAGUGGCGACUUCACUAGGGAUAAGAGAAGCUGAUUCUAGUGUAUGUUUAUCUUUAUUUUUAUUUUUUAAGAGAUUAUUCUUGCAUCACUACACCAUUAUCACACAUUGUACACUUUGGUCCCUAUUGUCCCAAUGGCAUCGAUUAGUGGUUCGAAUCUUAGAAUUGCGAGACUGGCUAACCAUUACUAAGUAAUGAGUGAAUUUCCUUCGUCUCAUGGAUCCUUGAGUGGGAAGACGAGCCAAGGAAGAAAACUUUUUACUUGUAGGAGCCUUUUAUCCUUCCCAAAGACCCAGCUCAUGGUAAUGGCCGUAGUAAUCUCCCUUAGGAACCCUAUUGCUUACUAUAUGGGAUAUUUUCUUGUAAGUAUCUUAAGCCUAAGUAUUAAAAGGCCUUGGCCUAAAAAUGUGGAACCAGGCUCUAGGCAAAAAAUAUGUUGGCUUUUAUGCUUAUACCGAGAAACAUUACCAUGUUUGUUUAAAUAUACUUUGAGAGCUUAUGACAUCGCAUCAGGCCUACUAUCCUCUGUUGAUAAAAAGCCUAGACCUAAAAUCCUAGAAAAGAAAGACUUACCUAGAACCGUGUGUGGGAGUAAUAAGGUUGGAAGGAUGAACUGUAUACUAUUGUGUAUACUCACUUCAUUUUCUUUUGUCAUUAUGCAUUGCACGUGCAUCAUACAUCUCAUGCAUCAUACUAACCUUUGUUUUUUAGACAUAUAGACUCUCUUAUGGAUUUGAAGAGACAAGAUAGUGAAAGAUUAAAAAGAGUGCCUAUUUCUUCAAGAAUCAGAGCUAUGUUAGAGCACCUAGAAAUACCAAAACGCCAAGCUACCGAAGAGAUGGCCAACAAAAGAGCUAAUGAAUAAGACGUCAAGAUCCUCAAAAGUGAUGGCCAUCAUACUUGAGGGGUGUGAUUCAAAAAGAGCUCUAGCAACUCUUGGCUGGGAUGGCCACGAACCAAGCCCCACCUGCUGCUCCUAUUGCACCGGUUAAUCUCUCUAUUGUUGUUGACUUGCUUGUGUUUACUGCUGAGAUUACUAUUGCCAUUGCAGCUGCAACCAAAUGCUAAUGCUGAAGACCUAGCAAGAAGGGGAGUGCCUUAGAAUUUUUGGGACUUCGAUGAAUUUAUACUAGACCAGGCUAAGAGAAAGACUACUCUUGCCACCAAUGAAGCUGUGGGUGAUAUGAGUGUCUCGCUUGAAAAAAUACAAGAUAUGUUAGAAAUUAAAGGUUUGGACCCUACCUACGAUUUUGAAGAUAGGAGAAGACAAGCUACGUGCGAAGUUUAAAAUGCUCGAGAUGAACAAGUUCAACAGGACUGGAGACCUGAAGGUUUUUCUAAAGUAGUAUAUAACCAUCAUGAGAAUUACUCAACUAAGCAGGACCUAGAUUGUCAAGCUGUUUGUACUGUCACUUGAAGGACUCGUUGUCAACUAGUAACAUGGUCUGGAAAAAUCUGUCAAAGUUGAAUGCCAUGAUUUAUGUAAUUCUUUUGUCAAGCAGUAUGACUAUAAGACUCAUUUGGAAGUGCCAGUCAAGGAUCUCAAAUCCACCAAGCAGAAGCCGAAUGAGUCCUUCUUUGAUUACCUGACCAGAUAGAGGAGUAAGGCUGGAGUGAUGAAGAACAAGCCUUCUAAAAAGGCCAAGUUUGUAUGGUGGUCUGAAACGUUCUUCUAGGAUGGUUUGAAAGGUUGCAGAUGAUGAACCCUAAAAUCUUUAUGGAUCUAUACGAUAAUGGGCUACAGGUCGAGGAGAUAGAGAACGACAAAAGAAAUAGUGUGAGAACCAGCGGAAGGGCAAACUACCAGACUGGAGGGAGUAGGACCCUAGAUGUAAAUGCUGUGUAACAACCGAGGAAGUUCUCCAACUUUAAACAACCUCUCUAUAAGAUCUUUUAGAGAUUGAUAUAGAAUAGCAUGCUCCUAUCUACCGAAUCCUAACGUAUUCGGACACAAACCCAACACCUACUAUAAAUUCCACCAAGCACUCGGCCACCAUAUUGACAACUGCAUAUGGAUAAAACACGAAUUUUAGUACCUUAUCGAUGCUGGAAAGCUCAUUGAUCCUGACCAACCGAGCACCAAAAGGAACCCCUCACCAAACUACAAUAGCGCACCACCCCUAAACCAAAUGUCCAUAAUCCAUCAUGAUUUCAACGAAGAGGAGAUCAUGAAAUCUUUUAUAGAUCUACCUCAAACCGAGCCAGAAGCCAAACCAAAUAGUCUGUAAAGAACCUACACCGAGCUAGGGGCACCACUAUAUAUGGUGUUCUAACACUUAAAAAUAGAUUGGGAAGCUUAAGCCCCAAUCGCUAAAAGACAGUCCUAAGCCUCACAAUGGUCAGUAUUAUGAGUACCACCAAGCCUUCAGGCAUAUGGAGAACCAGUACUAUCAUCUUAAGCAUGAUCUUCAGGACUUAAUCGACUCUAAUGAAUAGGAGGUUGAGCAAUUUCCUUAGUAUGAGUGUGAAGACCUGCGUGGGCAGCCCUCGGGCAAUAUGACUUCAAGGUCUAAUAUCCAAGGCCACCCUUAGCCGAUAUUCAAAUCGAGAAUAUUAUGCUAAGUGGUUGGGGAUCAGAUGACGAUCAAGCCACUUAUGAGCCUUACCUCCUAGAGGUCUGAAAAGAAGAAAAAAUAAAGUCGAUCAUGGCUAUCGACAUCUGGUAUAACUUUAGGGAUGAGUAUGAAGUUUAAGAUGUCGAGGCCAAAGACAUCUAGGUCGAUAAUGAUUCCAAAACUGAGCUAGCGGGUAAGGGUAAAGAAGUUGGGUUAUAAAAGUUAAAGCAAGAGAAAUAAGCACUUGAAGAUGGGGAUGCUGUAUUGCUAGAAUGGUGAAAGAAGGAGAAAAAGACAGCCGACAUCUGGAAACUGUUGAUGCAUUCAUCGGACUAAGAAAAGGCUCUAAUUCAGGCCUUAUCUAGUAUAAGUGUUAGAACAAUAGCUACCCCUGAGGAGAUGAUCAAAACGGUAACUGACAAGACUACUAGAAUGAUCACCUUUUUAGAUGAAUACCUACCGCUUGAGGGAAGAGACCAAUAUAAUGCCCUCUAUAUAGCAACAAAAGUAAAAGGGAAAAGAACCCUAUAUAUGAUGGGAAGAAAAAGAUAUCAAUGCCAAUCGGGGAUGACGGGUUAGCUAUCAACGUGCUUCUUGCAUACUCUCUAAACUAGGGAUGAAUGCGAAUGACCUAAAACCACUAGACAUGGUCAUAAGGGCCUAUGACGAGACCAAAAGAGAUGUGGGAGGGACGUUUUCAGCACUGAUGAAAAUGGAUCCUAUUGAAUCCUAGGUAGAGUUUACCAUUCUAGACAUCCUAGUAACUUUUGCAUUGUUAUUGGAAAGGCUAUAGUUCCAUGCCCUAGGAGGAGUCUCUAACAUAGUACAUUAAAAGGUAAAACUCUCUCAUGAAGGCGAGAUUGUCAUUAUUAAUGCUGAAGGUGGUAAGAUUGUCUCAGCAAUCUAAGAAACCAUCAAAGAGGUGGAUGCCCCUAUUGGAUUCCAAGUGGUGGUUCUCUAUAAGGACUACAUGAAUCUUAAAGGAGCCAACAUGUUUAAGAGAAUGAACUUCAAGCUUCGAAUAGGGCUAGAGAAGAAUCAACAGGGUAUUGGAGAGCUACCAGACUCAAAGGUUAGAAGACUCAGCGAGAUUUGGAAUAUUCUGAAGAGGAAGACAAGAGCAAACCAAAGGGCAAGACUCUAAAAGACGUGUUUGUAUAGGAGUACAAGUCCUACUCUAGGGAGUCCGAACUUGUUAGUGUAGUUGGGACUGAGGUACUAGGGUUUGAGAUUUUCAAGAACCAAAUUAUUGAUAAGAUGAUUGAGCUGAGUAUCAAGAAAGUUUGAGAGAAGAUUACCACCUAGAUAGAAGAACUGAAGCUAGAAGAGUUCGCCGCUCAACCGAAAAAGAAAAUCCAAGAGGAACUAGCUGUUCUUAUAGAAAAUAAUAUAAUUGAUGUUUUUUUAUGAUGAUGAUAUAAUAUCAUUCGAUAUUUAUAAGGACGAUAUUUAUUUUCUCUUUAAGAUCAAUGAUAUAAAUAAUUUUUCUUACUUGUGUAAUAUUUUUCUAAUAGUAGUGUGCAUUUUGAUGACCAUAACAUGUGCAUGUUUAACAUCAAUUCCGUAUAAAUUGAUUCAUUUAAUGUAGGCACAGAUGUGAAUCCACGAAACAUUCUGAUAGCUUAUGAUAUAACUCUUGAAGAGAGGAGAGAAUUUGAGAAAAUAAUAGAAAAUAAAAAAGUUGUAUUUGCUUGGUCCUAUGACGAUAUUGCCAGGUCUAGAUAGAAAAAUUAUAGAGAACCAUAUCCCAACUUAUUCGCAUAUUAAGUUGGUCAAACAGAAAGUGAGAAGACUAAGGCUAAAAUGGGUAGAUAAGAUACAAGAAGAGGUUGUCAAGUAGGUUAUAGCUAAUUUCCUCGAUGCGGCUGACUACCUCGAGUGGUUGGCAAACAUUGUUCUGAUCUUGAAGAGUGAUGGUAAGGUCCAAGGUCCAAGGCAUGCCUAAGGACGACUUUACACUUCCCCACAUAGACUUAAUAAUCGACAGUGCCGCUUCAAACGCGAUGUAUUCCUUUACAAAUGUGUCGUAUAGGUAUAAUCAGAUCAUGAUGGCAGUAGUGGACAAGCUGAAGAUAUCUUUUAUCACCGAUUAGGGGACAUACUGCUACAAGGUUAUACCUUUUGGAAUAAAGAACACAUGGGAAACUUAUAAGAGAGCAGCCACAAUCUUGUUUCAUGACAUGAUACAUAAAGAGGUGGAGGUGUAUAUAUUAAUGGCAUAAUGGUAGAGUCUGAAACAAGGAAAGUGCACUUUUAAGCUCUUGAUAAGUUUUUAGGACGAGUGGAAAGGUAUAACCUGAGACCCAACCCGAAGAAGAGCAUAUUCGGAGUUACACCAGAGAAGCUGCUAGAGCACAUAGUGAGUCAGCGAAACAUAAAGAUCAACCUGGACAAGGUCAAGGCUAUUUAAGAGAUGCCACCACCGAUGAUCGAGAAAGAAGUCAAAGGUUUUCUAGGACGCUUGCAAUACAACAGCAGGUUCAUUUUCAAGCUCACAAUGGUCUGUGAUCCUAUCUUUAAGUUUUUAAGGAAACAUCAACCUAUUGUGUGGGAUGAACAUUGUCAAAAAGCUAUGNNNGCAUGUUGAUCCUAUACUUGGCCUUAGAGGAGGAAGCUAUAGAGGCAAUGGUAGUGCAGUGCAAACUUAAUGAUGUAGAGCAUGCAGUCUAUUAUCUCAGUAAGAAGUUGGUGCCUUAUGAGUUGAAGUAUAAUCUCAUGGAAAAGAUGUGCCUAGCCAUGAUAUAGGCUAUAAGAAAGUUGAGACAUUAUUUUUAGUCUUAUAAGGUCUAGAAAAAUUCAAAAAUAGACCAUUUGAAGUACUUAUUUGAAGCUCAAUCUCUUACAAAAAAGUUGUCUAGAUGGUUGGUACUCCUAACAGAAUUCGAUAUUGAGUACAUCACUAAGAAUGUAGUCAAAAGUAGGGUUGUAGUUGAGUUUGUAGCCUAAAAUACGAUCAAAGGAGACGACCAUUAGGAUAUGAAAUUUUCUGAUAAGAAUUUGAGGGCAAUUGAGAUCCAUGAGUUGAAGAUAUACUUUGAUUGAGCUGUGAACGCAAGAGGUGCAGGCUUAUGAGUGGCUCUGAUUACGCUAGAAGGAGAGAUACUAGCAAUGGCCAAGAUAUUGGACUUUAAAGUGAUCAUUAACAUGGCUGAGUAUAUAGCAUGUUUAUUUGGAUUAGAAGCGGCAGUGGUAGCAGGAGCUAAGCAUUUGAUGGUCUACAGGGACUCCAUGCUGGUAAUCUAACAAGCCCUCAAGGAACGAGAAGUAAAAGAAGAGAGGUUGAAGCUGUAUAUCAAUUAUCUUAAAACUUUAGUGUGCAACUUCUCCAAGUUUUCCUUUGUACACUUGCCGUGGGACGAGAAAAAGAUGGCGGAUGCACUAGCUACUCUGUCGUCUAUUUGGGUCAACUCCUUAUGGAUUUUGAUGAAGCCUUUGGUGAUCGUAAAAUCGGGUGCCCCUUGGUAUCAAGGGGAUCAAAUAAUACAAGUUCAGAUGGGACCGAAAGAGAAGCUAUGGUUCUAUGAUCUAAAGCAGUUCAUAGAAAGCAAGGAAUAUCCAGAGGAAGCGACUGCCGAGGAAAGAUACGUGUUAUAGAUUCAAGCUAGGAACUACAUCAGCCACGAGGGAGUCCUAUAUAGAAGAAUAAAGUUGGGUGUACAACUCUGAUAUGUGACUAAAAUAGAAGUUCAAGUAAUGAUGAAGAAAAUGCACAAAGGAGUAUGCGGGCCUCAUAUAAAGGGCAUAGUGUUAACUAGGAAGAUCAUGCGAUAAGGUUAUUACUGGUUAACAAUGGAGAAGGAUUGCAUAGCUAGUGAUGAAAUGCCGAGAAUGCCAGCUGUAGAGUGACUUAAGUCAUGUGUUUCCAACAUCGAUUGGGUAAACACCAUACUCUAUGGUUUAUAGGAUUGAAGUAAUUUUGCCGGUUGAGUUAGAGUUGAAGUCUUUAAGAGUUUUAUUGGGGCCUGGAAUACCGAAAUACUAAUGGAUUGCGUAAAGAUACCAGCAAUUGGCUUUGGUUGAUGAGGAAAGGAUGAAAGCCCUAUACCACAUGCAAUUGUAUCAAAAAAGGAUAGUCAGGGCAUUUAAUAAGAAAGUAAAGCCAGGAAAUAUUAGAGCUGGUGAUCCAGUAUUGAAGUAUACAAGGCCUAUUGCAUUCGACCCGAGAGGGAAGUUUAGGCUAAACUAGGAAGGGUCAUACUUAGUAAAGAAGAUUUUGCCUAGAGGUGUUGCUAAGAUCUCAAACCUAGAGAGGAACGAGUUCACUAAGCUAAUCAACAUAUAUUGUCUCAAGAAAUACUAUGUAUAAUAAAAAAAAUAGUAAGAAUAUAAGAAUAAUAGAAAAAUAGCCUGCUAAUAAGAAAACCUGAAAUGGCGGGUCAGCCAAAAGUUAGGGCAAAAGAGAGAAAAUAAUUAGCUAAAAAAUCUAAAAAGACUGGCUGAUGAUAGGAGUUAUAUCGUGAGAAAUCAAAAUGUAUCCAUUUGGACUUUUAUUAAAUGAAUAAAAUUGUUUAGAACUGUUAUCAAACAUAUAUAUAUCUAUUUAUCAUCUACGCANNNNNNNNNNNNNNNNNNNNNNNNNNNNNNNNNNNNNNNNNNNNNNNNNNNNNNNNNNNNNNNNNNNNNNNNNNNNNNNNNNNNNNNNNNNNNNNNNNNNNNNNNNNNNNNNNNNNNNNNNNNNNNNAGGUUUCGCUCUAUGUCUUGAUGGGGCCACUUAUCUAGAAAAUCAUGUCUGAGUGGGAAGCCUUUGAAUUCAAGUAGAGAUUCCAAGAUUCAUUCCUUUUGCCCGCAUUGGCGGCAAAGUCUCGAAGGAGUGUAUAAGGUGGAUACUUGUAUUUCAGAUAAGAGUACGCAAUCACCGUACACUAUGAGCCUGACAUGCUUAAUUCUCCACUAAGGGCAAGUUUAGCGAAUAAACGUGUCUGAAAUGUCUGUCAUCUAGGAAUCCAGCCAUCAUGACCUCGUGGGAUAACAAUAGAACGGGUUUGCACAGGCUUCAGCUCGUACUUAUCAAUAUCCCUCAGGAUGGUCAAUAAAUAGAGCUUCUCCGCAUCCAAAUAUGAAAAAGAGGUAAAUAAAAAAUGAAAAGAAAAGAAAAAAAAGAAAAAGCUAAGUUGAAAACUCGAAAGGGCGGCUUAGGCAAAAAUAAAAUCUGCUAAGUCGAAAACUCAAAAUGGCGGUUUAGAUAAAAGUUAAGACAAAAAAGCCUAUUAAGUUGAAAAUCCGAAAGAGCAGCUUAGGAAAAAAUUAAGGCAAAACAAUGAAAAAGUAAAAAAAAAAAAAGAGAUUUAGUAAUGUACCUAUAAAAAAUGAGGCUGACAUUAAACCAUUGAUAGGUUUUAUACAUUGUCUAACUUAAUGAUGGUUUCAGCCAAGAUGACUAGAACUAGAUCUGCUCCAUGCUCCACCUAAUCAAUAAUGCCAACAAUUCUGAUAUCUCCUUCUCCUUAAGGAGAAAUCAGCAGAAAUUGGGCAUAAAGCCAAAAGCCCAACAUCCGAAUCCAUGAAGGUGUGUCAUUCUCCUUCUCACAACAAGAGAUUAAUGAAGUAAGGAUAAUAUACUCGUCAACAGAAUAGGAAAGUGCCUCAACUGGGGGAUGUCGAAUAAAUCCACUAGUUUUUCAAGAAAGGGCUCAUUGAGUUUUGACAGGGUGAUAGGAUGUGUAGAAUCCUUGGGAAGACCAGUAGAAAAUUCCUUAAUCAUGGGGCACAACUCUAACCCACCGAAUCUAAAGACAUAGUCCCUUGGACGCUAGAAGUUGAUAGUAUAGUGGAGAAACCCAUAAUCAAGCUUGGUGUGUUGCACGGCCUUAAUAGAUGAAAGAUGGAAUUUCCUAAGUUUGAUCUAAUCAUUGCCCGUUAGAUUUCUAAAAAGAGUUUAUAGGCAUUUGGCAUUUUUCCAAGACAUAUUUUUUGACUUUUGAAAUAUAAAAUCAUGUAUGGGAAAGUAGGAGGGGCUCAUAGUUUAUAUAGGCCUUAAAUUAGUGUUCGAAUCGAACUCUACAACCGCAAAGCCGAUCAACACUACGUACAGCCAAUCGACUCAGCAUACAACCGAUCGACUAUAUGGCCUCCUAGGCCAUUUUUGUAGGUUUUUUGGGUGAUCACUUGAUUUUUAAUGCACAAAAGCUCUAUGCAAAAAUAAAGGAAAGGAGCAAAAAUAGAGGCAAUUCAAAAGCCAAAAUCAUAUUUUAUACCUUCAAAAGUCAGAAGUCUACAAAAAGUUUUAAGUUCUACAAGCAAUAAGAAGAAAGUACAAAGGAAGAAUCAGAAGCCGGGGUUCUCUCCCAAACCCUCAAUCUCGUCAUCAAAGUCAGUGUCCAUCCCUUGGGUCUGCAAUGCUGAUAGCUAAAGAGUUAGUGUGUCGAUCCAACAUUGCUGAGUGUCAAUCUGAUGCUGUCAGUCAUCUAGUUGCCCCUGCAAGCCCUCAUGGUCCCUCUAUUGAAAACUCAAAAGGAUAUUAGUUAGUGCAUUGCAUACAUGCAUACAUACAUAUUGCAUAAGUCAUUUUUUUACCCAUUAGUCCUCACUAAGGAUAAAGAAUUGCCCUCUUGCAGUACCAACCAGUUGAUGUACGUGCUUCAACUAAUCCCUAUGAAGUUGUAUUUGCAUAAAUAUGUCACUAACCUUUCAAGAAAACAAAGAGGUGAAAACACAGAAGAGAAGAGUAACUUACAUGAAUGCAAGUACUCAAAUGAACUCUAGAGGGAGGCACUACUUCAUGGCAAGCCGAUGCUCCAUCACAUCAUUUGGGUUCCAGUAUAAAACCAUCGGAUCAAGAGGGAAUAAAAAAAUCCCUGGUACCACAUCAGACAUGGCCAUGUGAGGUGCCUCAGAGGCUACACCGGUAGAAGAGCCUGCGAUAUGGGAUGGCUUGGAGCAUCGAGAGGACUGUCCCUGAGUCGGUUUACGAGCACCAAGAGCCUAGUGGAUGAGCUGUAAAUAACUGAUUAAGAAAGUAGCACACAGUAAAAAGGGAAUUCUAACUAAAUUCAAGAAACUACUUGAGCUACAACAUCAUCGCCAUGAGGCACGGCCCCCAAUAACUGAGGGAUGAAUGAGGUAUAGUCCGUCCGUUGGGAUCAGAUGGUAAGGUCUUCAGACUCGUCAUACCCCGUCAAGCACUCUACUAAUUUCUCCCCAGCAAGAUAUGAUGUCCAAAACAUGGAAAGAGGAUGGGGAUAAUGGGACUUGACGCCUGCUGGAGCCUCAUUCUUAGCUAUAGAUCCUCUCUCCUAAGUACCAAGCCCGAUAGGCAGGUUCGGUCAGUAGGAUCUUCCUCUGCUCAAGGUCAGUUGUAGACAACAUAUAAAUAAAGCAUGAAUAUAACUAACAAAUUAUAUUUACCCUAUCCCAAGUCAAGCUGUUGAUCCACAUGCAGUGCACGUGAACCUUAGACCACUUUAGAGUAACGGUCCUGAUCGAACCCCAACAAUUAAGCAAGGAAAAGCCCAUGAGGUGCAGAUGGAUGAUGAGUCCACCAGAAGUCUAAUCUCUAGGGCCCAAACCUGCAGAGUAAAGAGUUGGAUCGCAUGCUAAAAACUGCAUUCACUAUUUUUAUAUAAGAAACUAAAGAAAAAGAAGUCAGUGCCUAAUUUACGUGGAUCGCAUGCUAAGAACUACAGAUCCUAUUGUUGCCUCGGACGGUAAUGUUCAUCUGAUGAUACAAAUAUAAGAGAGCUGCAGAUCCUAAUUGUAAGAAGAGACCGGGUCCAAAUCCCGUAGUGGUGCUAGAUAGUGGAAGUUUAGUGAGUUCCCCGAGUCAUUGAAUAAUGUUGUACCGAAGAGGUAUACCAAAAAUACUUGGGCCAUCUAGUCAACCUCCCAAACAUUCUAAGGAACGAAGCCCCGAUAGUGGAAGGGGAUGCGCUGAUAAGCGAUGCAUCGUGAUUUCUUGUACGUCGGUAAGAACGUGAGUAAGUCAGCUCGGAUGUCGGAACACUGAUUAUGGAUCACAUCAUCGAAUGGCACAUGAGUGCUAGAAAAGUCGAUAUUAGUGAUAGUAUAAAAAGAAAGAGGAGAGAGAGUCAACUCACUAACCAGAUUGUGGAAGGUAUGGGCCGCGUCCAUCCAUCUCUCGAGCAAGGCAUAGAUANNNNNNNNNNNNNNNNNNNNNNNNNNNNNNNNNNNNNNNNNNNNNNNNNNNNNNNNNNNNNNNNNNNNNNNNNNNNNNNNNNNNNNNNNNNNNNNNNNNNNNNNNNNNNNNNNNNNNNNNNNNNNNNNNNNNNNNNNNNNNNNNNNNNNNNNNNNNNNNNNNNNNNNNNNNNNNNNNNNNNNNNNNNNNNNNNNNNNNNNNNNNNNNNNNNNNNNNNNNNNNNNNNNNNNNNNNNNNNNNNNNNNNNNNNNNNNNNNNNNNNNNNNNNNNNNNNNNNNNNNNNNNNNNNNNNNNNNNNNNNNNNNNNNNNNNNNNNNNNNNNNNNNNNNNNNNNNNNNNNNNNNNNNNNNNNNNNNNNNNNNNNNNNNNNNNNNNNNNNNNNNNNNNNNNNNNNNNNNNNNNNNNNNNNNNNNNNNNNNNNNNNNNNNNNNNNNNNNNNNNNNNNNNNNNNNNNNNNNNNNNNNNNNNNNNNNNNNNNNNNNNNNNNNNNNNNNNNNNNNNNNNNNNNNNNNNNNNNNNNNNNNNNNNNNNNNNNNNNNNNNNNNNNNNNNNNNNNNNNNNNNNNNNNNNNNNNNNNNNNNNNNNNNNNNNNNNNNNNNNNNNNNNNNNNNNNNNNNNNNNNNNNNNNNNNNNNNNNNNNNNNNNNNNNNNNNNNNNNNNNNNNNNNNNNNNNNNNNNNNNNNNNNNNNNNNNNNNNNNNNNNNNNNNNNNNNNNNNNNNNNNNNNNNNNNNNNNNNNNNNNNNNNNNNNNNNNNNNNNNNNNNNNNNNNNNNNNNNNNNNNNNNNNNNNNNNNNNNNNNNNNNNNNNNNNNNNNNNNNNNNNNNNNNNNNNNNNNNNNNNNNNNNNNNNNNNNNNNNNNNNNNNNNNNNNNNNNNNNNNNNNNNNNNNNNNNNNNNNNNNNNNNNNNNNNNNNNNNNNNNNNNNNNNNNNNNNNNNNNNNNNNNNNNNNNNNNNNNNNNNNNNNNNNNNNNNNNNNNNNNNNNNNNNNNNNNNNNNNNNNNNNNNNNNNNNNNNNNNNNNNNNNNNNNNNNNNNNNNNNNNNNNNNNNNNNNNNNNNNNNNNNNNNNNNNNNNNNNNNNNNNNNNNNNNNNNNNNNNNNNNNNNNNNNNNNNNNNNNNNNNNNNNNNNNNNNNNNNNNNNNNNNNNNNNNNNNNNNNNNNNNNNNNNNNNNNNNNNNNNNNNNNNNNNNNNNNNNNNAAGCCAACCCAAGUGGGCGUGGCACUCGCAUCAAAUCAAUGAUCAAAGUUUAAGCUUACGGGGUGUGGCUUUUACAACUAAUAUAAUAUCCUUUUGCUAUAUCCUUGAUAUAUAUGAUUUGUCUCAAUUUAUUUAAUGCAUUGCGUGCUUAUAAAUCUUGACAAAUCAGGGGCAGCUGUUAGCAUUCCUUUUUUGGAUCUAGAUAUCGAGAGAAAUACAAAUAACCCUAUAAUGAAAGUUACCGCCUUCUUGGGUCUCGGAAGAUAAGGACAGGCGAAUCCGAGGUUAGGAUUGAGGUUAUCUAAUUGGAAUUACUUUUUUAAAAUCAAUUUAGACUCAAUUAUCAAUAAAAAUAAAGUUUGAGAGUUAAAACAGCAGUUUUCACAAAUUCAGGGACUUAAUUGCAAGUUUUUUUAACUUUUCUUGUGUAGAGCUAUUCGGCUCUACAUUGUGCUGAUUAGGUUUUUUUGCACUUCGAUGUCAUUUCUCUCGAUGAUUUCACAUCCAAACACAGAUUCUAGAAGAUUUUUAAUGAUAAUCAUGAAUUCUUAAUGAUAAUUAUUUAAACUUAAAGAAUUAAAUUUGGAUAUUUAUGAAUUUUAUUUUUUAAAAUAAUUAAAAUUAUCAUUUUUCAUAGGAUUUUCUUUGAAAUUCUACCUCUAUAAAUAGAAAGAGGUGAUUGGAAUUAGGGUUAACAAGUAAUAACAGGUAAUAAUGAGAGAUAACAAAAGACAAAAAAGAACAAUAACUAGAAACAAAGAGAAAAAGCUAGAGAGAAAGAGAUAAAAAAGAUUAUCGUUCUUAUUUGGGUAGAGAAUUCAAGUCACUAAGAAAGAAGCCACUCAAGAAAGAACUGUUUUUGGAAACUUAUUUUUAAAUCGACAUAAAUUUUCUCAACGCCAGAUCCAGUACCGGACUCCCAACCAGUCUUUGACUCUAUUGCCUCAUCAUCAUUUGAGACACACAAAACCAUCAACUACGGUGACAACCUAAAGGCUUUACCAAACAUGCAUUCAUCAUCAUAUUAAAAUCAUGUUUUUGUCCUUUUAAUUUUCUUUUUUUAUUAUUUAUUGUUAGAAACAUGAUUAGGAUUACUGUUGUUAUUUAUGAUUAGUAUUAUUAGUUUGGGUUUCUUGUGAAUCUGCGUAUUAAUUGGAUUUUGAAUAUGAUAAUAAGAACUCUAGAGUUUUGAAUUUGAUAAUUUUACCAAUUANNNGUACUUUUAGUUCUAGGUUUCUGUCAGUUUAGGAUUUUGAUGUCGAUGAUCCUAUUGUUUGAUUUUAUUUUCAUUUUAUUUCUUUCAUAUCUAAUUAAUUUUACUCUUUAUGCAUGUGAAAUAUGACUUUGAGAAUGUAAGAUGCACUGAUGAAUCGAUAGAAAACUCAUUGGAACCCUAGAGCCGAUUGGUUAUGCAUUCUUCAGUCCUAGAUUUUUUUGGCUUUGGACUAUUUUGAUGUAUUUUAAUGUACUGUAUUAGAUUUUUAGGUAUUUUUUCUUUACAACUUUAGUUAUAGGCCGAGUUUUAAUAAUUAAAUUUAUUUUCUGCCUUUAUUUUAUUUAUUUUACUUACUGUAUGAUUAUAAAAUAUGUGAUUAUGUAAUUGAUUAAUUAAAAUUGGCCACAUAGAUUUAGGGUUAAAACUGGAUCCAAUAUGAAUAUUGUAAUCCAAUAGGCUAAUCAACAUUAAGUGGACCUAAACCUAAAACUGAAGUAGAUUCAGUGGGCCUUAGCAUGUUUUAAUAAGGAUUGGACUUCAGUAGAAUUAGGAUUAUAAUGAACGGGUGUUAUCAUAAUAAAUAGUCCAUUAAGUCUAAAGGUUGAAAAUCAAAAGCAUAAGAUGUAAUUAAGCUAUAUUAGGCAAGCUAUAUAUACAUAAUUAACUAGUAAUUUAGGCUAACAACUCCAAUAUGGGCUGGGCUUGAAUAAAACGGGCUAGACCAUGGUGAAUUAUGUGUGUUAUUUGGUAUAACUGUGUAUAGAUUACUUGCAUUUAUAGAAAAUAAUUUAUUAGAUAAUAAAAUUAAAAACUAAUAUACACAAAUAAGGAAGUUGGCUUCCGAAUCAAUCUUUGGAUUUUGUGGCAUAAGCUUCCUUAUGGAAUAUGAGAAGCGUCUUUCAUUAGUAAAAGUGUCUCGGUGACUACUCGAUGGUGACUCCCAUCUCCGCUCUAGUCUCAGUGACUAGUUAGCGGAUUCCCAAUUAAGUAAAAAAGUCUUACAGUGCCAUAGUCGCUAAAAACACUUAAAUAAACGCCUAAGAUUAUUGCCCAGACACGCUAUUAUAAAUUUAUAUUUAUAAAAUUUUACUUAAAAGAAAAUUACCAUCACAAAGAGACAAUGAAAAAUCUUAAAACCAAGAAUCUAGCAUCAGAACUAGCUGGAUUGGUGAAGAAUGGACUUGACUGGUCCAAAAAUUGAAGCCUUGAAAAUGUGAUUAUAUGGCAUGGGACACAAUUUGUUCAGUUUUGACUUACUAAUGUCAUGGGCAGUUUAGGAUAAUCGUUGUCUAUCAUAUGGACAUAACAAAAAUAUUGAAGAAAAAAAGAUAAGAACGGAUGAUUGGAGGCGGCUACCAGAAGGUCGAAGGAUCAAUCUAUAGGAUAGAUUCAAACAGUCAUGCUUUUAUUGUCAGAUAUUAUGGGAAAGAAAGAUUAAACACAGAUAGGAGCCGGGGAUAGGGACAGGGAUAGGGAUAGGGAUAGGGUUAUCCUUAGUUUCUCCUCGGGACUCCAAACACAACCUCUUCUAACUGUUUCUUUCAUCAGCUUCGUGACUAAUUCCUCCAAAAAAGAGGAAAAAAAGAAAAGAAAAAACUACAAACUUUUCAAGUUUAUCGGACGGAUUUAUUUUUUUUUCCUUUUGCUUUUUUACUAUCACAGACUUAUUUGGAAUUAUCAUUAUUUUAAGAAUUAAAUUUAAAUUGUUAUAAAUUUUUGUAUAGAUUUAUAUUACUGGGUUUACUUUAAAAGAUAAUUUUUAUUUUCUUCAAAUAUUACUUUUCAUAAUUAAGAAAACAAAACGAAACAAUUUAGAUAAACAGAUUUGGCAACCUACAUUCAAAUAGAGCUUUAACCAGCAUAUUUUCAAACAGAGCUUUAAUUAGAUAUCUUGUAAAUUAAUAAUUAAUAAAACUAGUAAGUUUUAAAAUUCAAAUCUCAUCCAACUUAAAACAGAUAUAUUACAAAAUAAAAUUUUAACUCUUUUUGUAUUAUUAUUUGUAAAAAAAAAAAAAGUGUUUACACCAGCUUAUAUAUAAAAAUUGAACCACAAAAAACUUUCUGAUAUAUAUAUUAAUAGUUUUAAUAUAUAGAUAUGACAAUAAUAAAUUUUUCUCAAAAAGUAAUAAUUUAUAACUUUAUUAUUUAUUAUACAAUUAUAACUAAAUCGUUUUGCUAAUUAACUAAUGAUUUUAGAUCAACCAAAUAGAAGUUUAAUUUAUUUUUCGAAUUAUAUUUAACUAAUGUAUCUAGUUUUUUUAGUUAUACGAUGACUUUUAACUAAAAUUAGUAUAAUAAUUAUAUUAUAAAAUAAAUUUUUAAAGUAAUUAAUAAUAUUUUUAAUGUAAUUUUUAUAUUUAUUGUAUUACAGAAAUUUAAAAUAUUAAAAAAAUAUAUGUAAUAUUAGGUCAAAUGCAUACAUAUAUCAAUUUAAUUUAAUAGGCAUUUAAAAUCUAAAUUUCUUUAAUUUUAAAUACUUUUAGCUUUUGAUCUAAUUUAUUAUAUAUUUAAAUUUCACUUUUUGAUCAUAUUUAGAUAAUUACAUACUAUACAUCGUAGAUGUAUUAAAUAAAGGUAUAUAUAAAAUUUAUUAAGAAAUUAUAAAAUAUGUUUAGAUGUUAGUAAAUUAUAUUAAAAAUUAAAAUAUUAAACUGAUUAAAUUAUCAAAGCUUAGAGACAUAAAUAUCUUUAGCUGAAAUUUUAUUAAUUUUUAAUAAUUUAUUUUAAUUGAUAAUUAUAAUAAAAUAAUAAUAACAAGUAGAAAAUGAAAUAAAAGUUAGUCUUGUUAAAAUCUCCUACAUUUAAUCCGAGUCUUUCUAUCAAGAUUUCUAAACUGCAAGAUGUCUGCUAUUGUGUUGUAUAUUCGCAAUUAAUGAUGGUUUUGGUCUGUUAUUGUGUUGUAUGUUCACAAUUGAUGACACUUUUGGUAUUUUAUCUGUCUAUUAUUGUGUUGUAUGUUCACAAUUUAUAAUAGUUUUGGUCUUUUAUUGGUAAUAAUAGUGACUAAAGUUGGGACAAGACGAAGCUCUUCAGGUGUUUAAUUUUUGUAAAUCAACAAAUGUAUUCUGCUAAAAUUAAAAAUAAUAGAAAAUCUUGAUUUUACUUUUGGUAAAUGAUUAAUGAAAUAAUGGAAGGGACAAAAGUCUAUUCUCUUCUAUUUACUAAGAAAAUUCCCAAAAGGAAAAGAGAUAAGAGUUGAACUGUAUUUUAGGACUUUUUUCUUUUCCCUUUUAGUUACAAAAAGAAACAAAAUAACAAUUUUUAACACAAAGAGAAAGCAGAAAACCGCAAGGGGAUAAGCAUGAAAUUAUUGAUCUUAUUAAAAAACUCUUAGAUAACUUGUUACUUAAGAAAAUUAAUUUUGUAAUGUAAAUAUAUAAUGAAGUAUUAAAAAUUUAUACUACUAAAAUAAUAUAAUAUUAAAUAUAUUUAUAAAUAAUACAUUUCCUUCUUAAAAUUUAAAUUAUAAACUAAUAAGGCAAAAUAUUUAGCCUUCCACGUGUCUUACAGUUAUAAUAGCCAUGUGAAGACAUGCAUGACAGUUACGUGAACCUCUUCCUCUCCUUCUUGGGUAGACAUCUUACGUUGGAGUCAUGCACCGCUUUCUGUCCAUGCAAAAAUCAAUUAAAUAAUAUUAGCUCUUCACCAUAUUGUAUUUUAAAUUUCUGUUCUUUAUGUUAUAUGAUCGAGUAAUCUUAUACUUAAUUUUUAUUUAUGUAAUAACAAUAUAUUCUAUAUAUUUAUUAAAUUAUUUAUUAGUAUUUCUAGAUUAAAGUAAAAUUCUAUAAAAAUAUUAUCUACCAUAUCAUAUGAAUAAUAAUAUUAGAAUAAAUAUUAAUAAAACAUUUAACAUUUUCCUAUAUUGUCGGUUAAAAUAUUGUUUCUUGAAAUUUGUGUGUAUUAUUUUACCCGCAUAUUACUCGAUCAUAUACAUUUCAGAAGAACUCAAUAAAACUUUAACUUUUCUUUUUAAUGCUAACUUUUCGUACGGUUUCAUCUCAUUACUGAAUUGAAGCAUAGGUUGUAAUGUAUAUUUAUUUUUAAAUAUUAUCUUAUAAUUUUGGUUUUGCGAAUAAUUGUUUUUCUUUUUAAAACCAAUUAUAAACUUAAUAGAUAUUAAACAUAAACCAACCAAAACCAGCAGAAAUCAAAACAAAGUUAAUUUCUUAAAGACGUAGCGUAUUUUUAGAAACUCAAAAUUAAUAACAUAUAUUUUUUGUUAUUUUCUAAAUUUUAUAUAUUUUUGUAAAAAGAUGGCUAACAUAGCAUUAUAAACAUGAGUCAUCUUACUAGUGCAUAAUAUUUAUUUUUUAAAACUUUAUUUGACUUUUUAAUUGUAUAUAAUUUUCCUAUAUUUUUUGGAUAAUAAAAUAGUUUUGUUACAAACUAAUUAGUUAUAAAACUCAAAAAUUUAUAUUUAAUUAAUACUUUUAUUAAAUUUUAAAUUGUAAAAAUAAUUUUAUUUAUUACUAAAUAUUAUUUAUUUAUUUAUUUAUAAGUAUAUUAAUUAUUAUCUCCUUCAUUUCAUACUAAUUAACCUUUUUUAGUAUUUUAUUUAGAUUAAGAAAAUAUUUAAUAAAUUUAAUUAUAAAGAACAAAUAGCUAAUUGAGACUAAGUGACUUUUCCAUAGAUAGUAAUGUGUGUAUUAUAUUUAAUAAAUGUCAAGUGUACAUUUGAUGAUGAACUAGUAGUUUAUAGAUAAUGAAUAUAAUAUGUUUAACCUAUAAAUAUUGAUUUGUUUUAUGCACAAACAAUAUAUUCAUUACUAAUAGAUUAUGUAUCUAUCUAUUAUUAGUGUCAAGUUCAUUAAAUAUAAAUUUUAAAUUCAUCAUCUAUAAAGUGUAUAUUCAUACUAAUUAACUUUAAUAUUUUAUUUAGAUUAAGAAAGUAUUUAAUAAGUUUUAUUAUAGGAAGCACAUAGCUAAAAUGAGACUAAAUAAUUCUUCUAUAGAUAUUAAUGUGUGUAUUAUAUUAAAUGAACCUCAAAUGUACAUUUAAUGAACUUGCAGUUUAUAGAUAAUGAAUAUGUUAUUUUUAUAACCUAUGAAUAGUGACUUAUUUUAUGUAUAGACAUUAUACUCAUUACUUAUAAAAUGUAUAUUCAUUUAUUAUUAGUAUUAAGUUCAUUCAACACGAACUUUAGAUUCUUCACUUGUAAAUCGUAUAUCCAUAUUAAUUAACAUUUUUUAAUAUGUUAUUUAGAUUAAAAAAGUAUUUAAUAAGCUUAAUUAUAAAAAAUAAAUAGCUAAUUGAGACUAGACUAUUAUAUAGAUAUUAAUGUGUGUACUAUAUUAAAUGAACCUCAAGUGUACAUUUGAAGAACUUGUAAUUUAUAGAUAAUAAACAUUCUAUAUUUUAACCUAUGAAUACUGAUUUGUUUUAUGUACAGACGGUAUAUUCAUUAUUUAUAAAGUGUAUGCUCAUUUGUUAUUAGUAUCAAAUGCAUCAAAUAUGAACUAGAUUCAUCACUUAUAAAAUAUACAUUCAUUUAUUAUUAGCAUCAUAUUUAUUAAAUAUAUAUUUUAAGUUCAUUACUUGUAAAUUAUAUAUACAUAUGUUACUAGUAUAAGGUUCAUUAAAUAUAAAAUAUAUAUUCAUUAACUUUUAUUUAUGAAUCUAUCCUUAACAUAUGAAUUUGUUAUUUAUUACUUAUAAAGUGUAUAUUCAUUUAUUAUCACUAUCAGGUUCAUUAAACAUAAACUUUAGAUUCAUUACUUAUAAAUUAUAUAUUAAUAUAUUAUUAAUGCAAGAUUUAUUAAACAUAUUAGGUUCAUUAUUGAUAAAUUAUAAAUUUAUUUAUUAGAUUCAUUAAAUAUGAAAAGUAUAUUCAUUAAUUUUUACUCGUGAACUUGUUCUUAACAUAUGAAUCUUUUUUUAAUUUAUAAUUUUUUAAGCUGUAAUUUAUGAACUUCGGUCAUACGUGUGAUGAAUCUACGAUUUACAACACACGAACCUUGAAAUCAUUUUAUAAAUUUAAAUUAUAUAAUAAUAAUGUUUGGAGAAAAAAUGUUAAAAUUAUUAUUAUUCUUUUGAAAACAUAAAAUUACUUUUUAUUAUAUUUACUCUUCAUUAUGUUAAUAAAACUUAUAUUAUUUUAAUAUAUAGUAUAAUUUUUGUAAAAGUAUUAACAUAUUCCUAAAAAUAAUUUUAGUAAUAUAGUAAAAAAGAAAUAUAAAAUAUAUUAAAUUAUAAAAAUUAUAAUAAAGAAUAUAAUAUUUUUUUAAAUAAUAACAUAAUAUAAAAUUAAGAGAUGAGACAUGAUAAAAUAAUAUUUAUGGUAUAUUGAUUUAUCUAUUUUGUAAUAAAUCUAAAUUUAUAUUAUUAAUUUAUUUUUAUUUUCUUAGUUUAUUAACUAUUUAAGGAUAUAAAAUGUCAAUUAAUAUCUAAUUAAAUAAAUCCUAAUUUUAUAAUUUAUUAAAACACACACUCUGAUUUUAUUUCUAACAAGACAAGUAUGUUUGACCUUAAAUAUAUAAAAUUUAAUGUUUCUGUGCAUGAUAUAACAAUCUUUCAAAGGAUGCAUCAUUGAGUUCUAGACACCGGACCCACUGUACUUACUAGUAUUUCAUGAGUCUGUGAUAUAGCAAAAAUAUAAUAAAAGGAAACUUUCUUAUAAGUCUAUUGAUUCAAAACAUACAUAAAUAAACAAUCUUUUAAUAACUUGUUGACUAUGAUUUAAUGAUUUGUCUUGUUUCUCUGAUAAGUUUUAGACUGUCUCGUUAUUUGUGAUGAGGUUUUUCACUUGUAUUUUUCUUUGCUUUCAUAUUUUACCAUAGCGCUAUUAUAUGGUAACACUACUAAAAUGGAGUUAUAUGGAAGAUUUCGCUGGCGGAUGAGAAAGAAUAAGGAUUGAUUCUUGAUGAAGCUGAUCUGGUUUCUAUUCAAGCAAAUCACUCCAUGGUCAGCUAAAAAUAUCCAUGGAGAAUAGCUUUUCUGCCUAUGGUGCCAGCUGCUUCAUGAGCACUAUAGAUCCUUUCAUGGAUUGCUCUAAGGACAAAUUGCCUUUCCUUCAAGAUACAUGUAUACCAAGGAUAAGAUAUUGAUUUCCUGUACAGGAUACCCUCUUGAAAAGAGUACAUGGUCAAGGUCUUUACAACUUUAAUUGCAGCAUUCUUGUUCUCUUGUAACUUUCCUUCUUCGAGGUACUAGAUGAUCUCCUUCAUCCGAGGGUCAUAUUCUUCAAUGACCAAAUACCUCUUCUUUUGCUAUAGUCGACUUUUCAUAUAUGUUGAAUGGGACAUCAUUGCUCGACUCACUUUGUGAGGCGAGUUUGGCUAAGUAGUCUGCUUCUUUGUUCUCAUCUCGUAGGACUUGGAUGAUGCUCCAUUAGCCCUCUUAACAUUAGAUGCUUUGUCAACAUGCAAGGCCCAUUUAAUAAGAGCUUCAUCGACUUUUUAUGCACUUUUUGGCUUGCUCAUUCUCUACCAAAAAGUCGGCUAAUAUUUGCACUUUCAUAGCUUUUCUAGGCUCAUAUCAAACAUGAAAAGCCCCCACCUGAACUGACCAAUGACAAGUCACCCAGAUGUUUCUAGCCUCUAUAGUGCCUUCCUUAGUGGUUGAUUUAUUCUAACUAUCACUAUUGUGCUUCAAAAUACUAUCUGAGCUUAGUAAUUAUGGUGAUUAUAACUAGGGCUAAUUUCUCUAUUAUGGGGUACCGAGUUUCUACUCUUUCUAAAAUCUUACUCGUAUAAUAGAUAGACUUUUGUUCGCUAUCAUCCUCCUUGACUAGUAUAGAGGCAAUGGUUUCCUUAGUCACCACCAUAUACAAUUACAAGCUUUCCUCACUCAAAGGUCUGCUGAGUAAGGAUGGCAAGCUCAAGAACUUCUUUGUUUCUUCAAAAGCCUUCUGACAUUCAAAAUUCUUAACAUUCUUUAGAGUUUUGAAGAAAGGUAGGCAUCUUUUAGCCGAGCAGCGAAUGAACCGACCAAGAGCUAUUAUUCGGCCAUUUAACUUGUGUACUUCGCUGAUGCUACUUGGUGGGUCUCAUUUCUAUGAUUGCCUUAAUUCUAUCGAAGUUAGCCAAUAUCCCUCUUUGUAAGAUACAUGAAUCCUAAGAAUUUUUCAGCUUUGACGCUAAAAGCACACUUGUCAAGGUUUAAUUUGAGCUGGUAUUUCUCUAAGAUGUUAAAUGAUUCUUUUAGAUCUCUAGAUAAUCCUCGGCCCUAGCCGACUUGAUGAUCAUAUCGUCCACAUAUACCUCUAUAGUUUUGCCUAUCUGAUCUUUGAAUAUAGUGUUUACCAAUCUUUAGUAUGUGCUCUAGUGUUAUUUAGACCAAAAGGCAUUAUUGUGUAACAAAAGGUAAUUAUAUUCGUGAAAAAAGAAGUCUUCUCUUCGUUAGACUUAUACAUCUUGAUUUGAUGAUACCUUUGAGCAGUAAUGAUGGUGAUGAUAACUAAGGCUAAUUUCUCUACUAUGGGGUACCGAGUUUCUACUCCUUUCAAAACCUUACUAGUAUAAUAGAUAGGCUUUUGUUCGCCAUCAUCCUCCUUGACUAGUAUAGAGGCGAUGGUUUCCUUAGUCACCGCCAGAUACAAUUACAAGCUUUCCUCACUCAAAGGUCUAUUGAGUAAGGAUGGUGAGCUCAUAAACUUCUUUAUCUCUUCAAAAGCCUUCUGACAUUCAAAAUUCUUAACAUUCUUCAGAGUUUUGAAGAAAGGUAGGCAUCUUUUAGCCGAGCAGGGAAUGAACCGACUUAGAGCUAUUAUUCAACCAUUUAACUUAUGUACUUCAUUGUCCUAAGAAUUUUUCAGCUUUGACACUAAAAACACACUUGUCAAGGUUUAAUUUGAGCUGGUAUUUCUCUAAGAUGUUGAAUGAUUCUUUUCGAUCUCUAAAUAAUCCUCGGUUCUAGCCGACUUGAUGAUCAUAUCGUCCACAUAUACCUCUAUAUUCUUGCCUAUCUGAUCUUUGAACAUAGUGUUUAAUAAUCUUUAGUAUGUACUCUAGUGUUCUUUAGACCAAAAGGCAUUACUGUGUAACAAAAGGUAAUUCUAUUCGUGAAAAAAAGUCUUCUCUUUAUUAGACUUAUACAUCUUAUACCUUUGAGGAGCGUCAAUAAAGCUAUAUACUUUAUAGCCACUUGUUGAAUCCACUAUCUGAUAAAUAUUAGGGAGAGGAUAACCAUCCUUCAGGUUAGCCUUAUUUAGAUAUGUAAAAUCAACACACAUCCUCUAUCUCCUAUUUGGCUUCUUAACCAAAACCAAAUUUGCUUUCCAGUCAAGAUACAUUAUCGGCCUGAUGAACCCGACUUUCAGCAACUUGUUGACCUCCUCUACUGUGGCGAUUUACCUUUCAGGAGCAAAACUUCUCUUCUGCUAUUUAACCGGCUUGAAGCCUGGAUUGACAUUUAAUUGAUGGGAGAUUAUAUUCAAAUCAACCUUAACUAUCUUAGAAAAUGAGCUAGCGAACAUUUGCUUUUUCUCAAUAAGCACCUGUUCUAUGCUCUCAAUCAUUUGACCGGAUAACUCAGUGUUGAUCUGAACUAUUUCUCUGGAUCUAUGCCUACAGAGAACUUUCUUAACUCUCCCAUCGACUCUACUUUAGUUAGACCUUCCACCAGUGGAUGCAUUAAAGUUUCUAUAAGGUGUGUUUGGCAUGUCCUUUUUAGCGCAGUAAGAUAGCACUUCCUCGCCAUCUUCUGAUUACCGAGCACAGUAAUGACCCCUCUAGAAGUCAGAAUUUUCAUCUUCAAAUAGUUACUACUUGUGGUUGCCUUUGUUUCCAUCAGCAUAGGCCGUCCGAAGGCUAUAUUGUAUGCAAACAAAAUAUCAAUUACGGAGAAGGAAGUUCGCCACUUUUUGGUCAAACCUUUUAUUCUAUCCACUUUCCUGGUUUCUUCUCUGAGCUCUACCAUUAGCUCGGCUAUUCUUAAAAAGCUGCAUUGGCUAGCUAUCUAAACCAAGCAAUGGAAUCGUGCAUGGCUUUAGAUGCAUCACUCCCCACCAAUGGCUUUGUAGCACUAUAGACUCGUGAUGUUAAUUGCACUUCCAUGAUCCACAAAUAACCUCCUUACCUAAUAGUUCUCAAUAAAUCCUGAGACUAUUAAGGCAAUUUGGUCAGGCAUUUCAAUUCAUUCUUCAUUAUUUUCUAAGAAAACUAUAUCUAGGAGCUUUUCCUUCUCGGCCAUCAUAACUCGGCUUUUCCUCUUAGCUACAAACAUAGCUCCUUCAUAGAUUACAUUAUUAUCGCCCUUUUUAGAUCUCUCUUUCUUGUGGAUCCCUCCUGAUCUCAAUCUCUUAAUCAUCUGGAAUCCCUAGAACUCCUAUUCUUGUCUGAAUGACCCUUUUUUCCAACAAGAAAUCUCUUGAGAUGUCAUUUCUCAAUCAGUCAAUCAAUAUCUCUUUUAAAGUGUAUACAAUCUUCAGUAUCAUGGCUAUGAUUGUUGUGGAACUUACAAAACUUAUUUUUGUUCUUGGUAUCUACAGUUUGCUCUCUUAUAGGGUUUGGAUACCUGAUAUCACCUUUAUUCUUCUAGAUUUACAUCAAGAUGUUGGUCUUUGAUGUGUUCAGAGGAGCAAAGUCUUUCUCAUUACUAUUUCUAGAAUCAUUCCUCCUCCUAUCAUCCUUAUACCUUUGCUUGAUUGGUCAGAUUUCCAUUUUGAUCGAUUAUCAUAGUCUCCUUCCAACUCAGUAAUCUUCGUUUAAUCUNNNUCGAUUAUCAUAGUCUCUCCACUCAGUAAUCUCGUUUAUCUGAUGAAGCUGUGAGCUCGGUCCAUAAGCUCGGCAUAUGACUCUAGCGGGUCAAUGGUUAGCGAAUCUUUGAACUUGUUCAUGCAGUUAUUGUCAGUUAUUGCAUCUAUGGCUGUAUCUUGGUUAAUGUUAUCUACUUAGACAGCUUCUUUAUUGAAUCUCUCUAAAAAAAAUAUAGGCUUUUACCACGCCUCUGAAUACACUUCUUUAAAUCGUUGAGCCUUUGUUUCAGAGGUAUACUGGUGAUGAACUAAGCUUUGAACAGUUCAACAAGUGUAGCAAAGUUGUAUAUCGAGCCCUCUGGCAAGCUUUGAUACUACUUUCGAGCACUUUUCUUUACGGUUGUCAGAAAAAUCCUGCACUUAAUUAGAUCUGACACAUUAUGCAACCCUAUCUUAAUUUUAAAAUUAUUAACAUGACCUAACGGAUCCCCCAGACCAUUAUAGGAAUCUAAAUAUGGCAAUUCCAACUUCUAAGAAAAGUGCUCUGCUAGGAUGCUCGAGCAUAGGGGAUUACCCUUAAAGAGGACUUCAUCUCCCAUUAUCCUUCUCGUACGAUCUUUUUCAAAGCAUUAGCCUCCUCAAUCCAUGCAGAGUCAUGAUUCUGAGAACUAUAACUCUCUUUCUCGGUAUCUCUAACUCAGCUAUUUCUUUUCAAGACCGAUUAUCCUCCGCCCGAGUAUUUGUUCUCCUCAGAAUUUGUAUGUUGGUGGCGAACCAAUAUCAAUAGUAUGCCUGGUAAUUGCUAGAAUUCGACUGGUGCUUGUCGACGUAGCUUGCCUUUCAAGUGUUUGAGCCAGGGCACUCUCAUAAUACUUUUUCAUCUCUUCCACCUGUCGAUUAUACAUACUAACGAUGCCCUUUGGUAUUGUUGCUAAGGAUUCUAAGGAAGACCAGACGGUGAAGGUCAGCUCUAAGGUGUAAUAGGUAAUAGGAAGAAUGGUGUCUGAGGCAUAGGUGUUGAAGGUCUCUGUACCUUCUCCGUUUGUCGUGCAACUGAAACAUCUUCCGUGAAUGGUGGAUCUCUCUAGGUAUAAUUUCUACUGAAGAUCUGCUCAAGCAUAGGGUAAUUAUCAAAAAGAUUUCUUCUUUAAGGCUAGAAAAAUGGUAUGAUCAAUCUUGGGGGACCCGAGGAUCGCUGAUUGGCUUGCGGAGAAAUUAAAGAUCCAACAGGUUGAUUACUAGAACCAACCCAGUUUUCGGUGAGAGAACAUCCCCACUUUGAUCCUGACCAGAUGCCAUUUAGCUUAAUGAGGUAAGGAAAUAAAUCUUUUUGCAUAAGAGUUUCUCACAAAUGGCGCCAAUUGAUAACUCAGUCACAGAGUGAGCUAUCAAAAAGAUUUUGAAAGGUUAACUUGAUCUCCAAAGUAUCUGCAAGAAUGGGUAGAAAGUGUCGGACAGAUUUUUUCAGUCACUUACUCUGAUGAUUAGGUCAGUAAUUUGUGAAAGAGUAGCUUAAGUAUAAUGAGUGUAUAAAAUAGCAUGUACCUGUAAACAUUGUACCAUAGUUUCUUAUAUAGAUGUUGGAGGUCUCCUCGUCCUACUAAGACAAGAACUCUGUAGAUGUAGGUCGUCCCGAUUAUAUUAGGACUUAGUUCUCUUAUUUGCCACCAGAGUUCUAAGUUAGAUUGAACUUUUCAACUAGAGUCCGAUCAUGACACGAUCUCUUAAAUCCCCAUGUUGCAGUGGAAUAUAAACUUGGUUAACCCUAUUUUUUUAUCAUAGUAAAUUGACCGAUAAUACUUGGUUAUUAUUAAUUAUUUAAUUUAUAAUUAAUAAAAGACUUUUUAAUUCUUAACUAGACAAAUUUGAACUUAAUUUGUUUAAUAUAAUUAUUGAGUUUCAACUUCAACUUGAUUUGUCUAAUUAAUGAGUAGAGCUCAAGCUCUAACAUCAGAGGUAAACUCUUCUUUUGCAUCCCUAAGGAUAACCUUGGCUCUGUUUUUCUCUCUAGUAUUUGUUCAUUUGACUAUUAGCAAAAUUCUCUUGACAAGAUGAUCGAUGCCAUGAAAUACUUUGAAAAAUCACAUUUUCAAAUGUUAAAAGGGGCAUUUCUAUGGCGCACACAUAUGAUUCUCUUUUUCUUCCCAUGUCAAGCUAGUGUGAUCACAUAGAGCAGUAGGUUAGUAGUUCAAAUGUUUUCAUCAGGUUAUAAGAUUCUAAAUUUAAAUUUCAGAGGUCGUUUUUAAAGUAUUUAUACCUUUCUAAUAUCAUUCAACUUACAUUCUAAUUAGAUUUUUUUUAUUUAGCUACAGUAACGGACUUAAAUUCUAAUUUAUAGGUCUACAAACAUUCUGUAAUAAAAGAAAAUCUAUUUAAUUACGUUCAAUAGUCGCUACAAGUGGUGGCUCACUUUGUCUUAUUUGAUUGAAAAAAGAACUAGUGUGAAAAAAGGAAAAAGAAGAAAAAAAAGAAUUCCAUCUAACCCGGUUUACAUUAUUGACCAAAAAAGUUUUCAUUAUAAUUCAGAGGCAGAUGAUGAAUAGAAUUAUUACAAAAGGAAAUAAGAAAAAAGAAAGAAAAGAAGACAAAACAGAAAAACAGAAAUCAGUUAUAACAUCAAUAAAAAAUGAUGACAUCAUGGAACACUGGAAUAAGACAGGAGCAUGAUGGCAUUAACGUACAUGGAAAGAAUACGUGCCUCCAAAAUGCACCUCCCUAGGGACGUGUUUCGCUCACUUUCUGAAGAUAAAUAUGCAACUAUAUUUUAUUACGAAUUAGAGAUUAGAUUUAAUUCAAGAAAACAAUUUAGUGAUUAAAAUUUCUUGGUUUUUGUAAUUCUUUGAAUUCUUUUCCUUAUCCAGAAAAUAUUACAACAUCAUUCUAUUCCACUUUCUUUUUGUGUUAUAAAUUGAGGAGCUUGCGGUGACUCUUACAUCAACUUCUCUUAGUUCUUUACACAAAAGAAAAAGCUUGCUUCCUCUUCCGAACAAUCUUAAAAGCUUUUGGCAAUGGCUGCAUCUUUCUCUGGUCCUUCUAUGGUUAGCAUAACAAAACCUUCUCUUCUAUUUUUCUAUGUUUAAUUUGCCAACAUUGGGGUUUCUUAUUGUAAGAAUUCAGAAUUCAUUCUGUCAUAAUGGCGAACUAAACUAUUUUGGAUGUAGUUCAAUUAGUACUGAAAUCAUCUCAUUUUUAGAAGCGUGAGUUCUCCGAAUUAAUUAAUCCAAAAAAAAUGAGGGCAGCCCAUAUAUUUUAGCAUAUGUUAUGAUGGUUGCUAAGAUUCUUUAUUUGUUUUCUUAAAUUUGAAUUUAUAUUCUCCCUUUUAAGAUCAUUUCAUGAUCAUAUGAAGGGUUUGUUUCAAUCAGAAAUUUGAGAAAAGGAAAAAGUACAAAUUGAAGAACUAAAUUCUCAACCUCUGCAUUAUUUUCUCUGAGUCUGCAUUCUAAAAGCACAUUUUAGUUUCAGUUUAUACACUUAAUAGGCCCCUUUAUAUCUAGUCUAAUUCACUACUUAAGGUCUAUUUUAUCGCAUUUUUAAUUAAUUUUAUGUAUUAAACAUUUUAUAUUUGAAUAAGUCGCAUUUUAAAUUUAUGCUAAUAAGAGUAUAUUUAGCGUUAAAAUUUGAAAAAAAAAAGUGUUUCUUUUUAUCUUUAUUUUAUUUUUAAACUCUGAAAUUAUUUUUGCAAAAAGUAAAUUAAUUGAUGUUUUUUCUGAAAAAUAAUUUAAGGAAAAUUAUUUAUAAAAAAAUUUAAAAAAUUAAUAUUUUAGGUUAAAAAGAGAUUCUAAAUUUAUUUUUUUCAACACCCAAUAAUAAUAUCAAACACUCCAAGGGAAGUUGUAAUACACUUUUGUCUAUACGGUUCAAUAGAAUAGUUCUAUCAUUUGUUGUUUCUCUAUAAAGCAAGAACUUCAUCACAAACUUAAACGAGAUAAAGUAUAUAUUAGAUCAUAUUGUUAAGAUAUAUUGGACCUCACCGAGCAUUUUAGGCACCGUUUGGUCUCUUCUCUAAUUGUUAAUAAUAUUUCAAAACUUUUCAACUUUUUCUGCAAUACGUCUAAUACAUGGUAAUUACAGAUAUUCUUUUGUAUUUUCUUUUUCUUUAUGAAAAAACAUAAAAGGCAAUUAUAAAUGCUAUUAUGCUAUGACUGUCUAAUUCAAUGAAGAGCCAGAAUAAUAUUAUAUAUCAUUGUAUAAUUAAUUUUUGCUACUAGGUAGUUUCCUACUGCACCUGUGAUACUUUCAAGUGUUCAUCUUAUAGAAAGUAAAUAAAUAAUUUACUUUUUGUCUCAAGUUCAAUAAAUUGAAGUUUGAAAACUCAGAUCAAUUUAGUAUCAAAGUAACCUGUGAAGUGAUCGCUAAGGUUUUGUUUAGUUAGAACAUUUUGUAAUGAAUAUGAAAAUUAUGAUGAACAGAUAAUGGAAGAAGAAGGGAGAUUCGAGGCCGAAGUAGCUGAGGUGCAAGCAUGGUGGAACUCAGAAAGGUUCAAGCUAACCAGGAGACCGUACACUGCAAGAGAUGUUGUAGCAUUGAGAGGCAAUCUUAAACAAAGCUAUGCCUCAAAUGAAUUGGCAAAGAAACUGUGGAGAACUCUGAAAACCCAUCAAGCAAAUGGCACCGCCUCAAGAACCUUUGGUGCCCUUGACCCUGUCCAAGUAACCAUGAUGGCUAAACACUUGGACAGCAUUUAUGUUUCUGGUUGGCAAUGUUCAUCAACUCACACUACCACCAAUGAGCCAGGUCCUGAUCUUGCUGAUUAUCCUUAUGACACUGUCCCCAACAAAGUUGAACAUCUAUUCUUUGCUCAGCAAUAUCAUGACAGGAAGCAAAGAGAGGCUAGAAUGAGCAUGAGCCGCGAGGAGAGGGCUAGAACCCCUUAUGUUGAUUAUCUUAAGCCAAUUAUUGCUGACGGGGAUACUGGAUUUGGCGGAACUACCGCUACCGUUAAGCUUUGUAAAUUGUUCGUUGAGCGUGGAGCGGCUGGUGUUCAUAUUGAGGAUCAGUCUUCUGUUACCAAGAAAUGUGGUCAUAUGGCAGGGAAAGUGCUUGUUGCUAUUAGUGAACAUAUUAAUAGACUUGUUGCAGCAAGGUUGCAGUUUGAUGUUAUGGGUGUGGAGACACUUUUGGUUGCAAGAACUGAUGCCGAGGCAGCUAAUUUAAUUCAAAGUAAUGUGGAUACUAGAGAUCAUCAGUUCAUUUUGGGUGUUACUAAUCCAAAUCUUAGAGGGAAAAGCUUGGCUACCCUUUUGGCAACUGGAAUGGCUAAUGGUAAAACAGGAGCUGAACUUCAAGCUAUUGAGGACAAUUGGCUAGCAAUGGCACAGCUUAAGACAUUUCCCGAAUGUGUAAUGGAUGCAAUUAAGAAUAUGAAUGCCGGAGAAGAUGAGAAGAGAAGGAGAAUGAAUGAAUGGAUGAAUCAUACUAGCUAUGACAAGUGCCUUUCUUAUGAGCAAGGAAGGGAGAUUGCUGAUAGAAUGGGGCUCAAGAAUCUCUUCUGGGAUUGGGAUUUGCCAAGAACAAGGGAAGGGUUUUAUAGAUUUAAAGGUUCUGUUAUGGCUGCUGUUGUUCGCGGCAGGGCUUUUGCUCCUCAUGCUGAUAUUAUCUGGAUGGAGACUGCAAAGCCAGACUUCGCUGAAUGCACCGCAUUUGCAGAAGGGGUGAAAUCCAUGCACCCAGAAAUCAUGUUAGCUUAUAAUCUUUCACCAUCUUUCAACUGGGAUGCAUCAGGAAUGACCGAUGAACAAAUGAGAGAUUUCAUUCCCAGGAUAGCCAGGUUGGGAUUCUGUUGGCAGUUUAUAACACUGGGAGGUUUCCAUGCUGAUGCCCUCGUGAUUGAUACGUUUGCAAAAGACUAUGCCAGGAGGGGAAUGCUGGCAUAUGUGGAGAGGAUCCAGAGAGAGGAAAGGAAAAAUGGGGUUGACACUCUUGCCCAUCAGAAAUGGUCCGGUGCUAACUAUUAUGAUAGGUACCUGAAAACAGUCCAGGGAGGUAUCUCUUCCACUGCUGCCAUGGGGAAAGGCAAGUACUAAAGAAACUGGCAACAAUUCUUAACAAUUUUACAAAUUGGUCAUUCUAAUGUUUUUUUUUUACAGGGGUGACCGAAGAGCAGUUCAAAGAGACAUGGACAAGGCCUGGGGCGAUGGAAAUGGGAAGUGCAGGGAGCGAGGUGGUUGCCAAGGCAAGGAUGUAGGAGAGCAUGGCAUUCGAGUAUAUGGUCAAGUAAAGCUCUUGCAAUUUGAGAUAUUAGCCAGUUCCCAUAUUUUGGAACUGGGGUCAAUAAUUUGUGGCAAUAAUUUAAUAGGC
RNAcentral lists this long non-coding RNA (36130 nucleotides) under Ricinus communis (castor bean). Its description in RNAcentral is "long non-coding RNA (RCOM_LNC002477)". The record is from RNAcentral. Lineage: Eukaryota; Viridiplantae; Streptophyta; Magnoliopsida; Malpighiales; Euphorbiaceae.